Long non-coding RNA from Daphnia pulicaria, 523 nucleotides. RefSeq lists it as uncharacterized. Lineage: Eukaryota; Metazoa; Arthropoda; Branchiopoda; Diplostraca; Daphniidae. The transcript is spliced from 3 exons. The record is from RefSeq and is a predicted model, not a curated record.
GGUAGAGCAGGAGAGGACGUCGAAUCGAAUUGUCAAUGAAUGCUCACUCUACAACAAAAUUAAAAUUAAAAAGCCUUUUUCUAUUUCCACUUGGCCAAAUCAUCUGAUAACAUGUCUGGCUGUCUGGCUUGACUGCUGUCCUGCCGAAUGCUACGUGUACCGGCCGUACGUCUCAUCCUAUUCUGAAUACUUGACAAAAGAAGUUCCACAGCCAGGUGAAGUCUGAGCUUUUGCAGUGCUGUCUAUCAUGCUCGUGGUCUCGUUGCAACCAGCUGGUGAAUGGUGUGGUGAGCUACUUCCAUGCAGUCUGUGGGGCUGACCUUGAUUGCAGGUAACUUUUAUAACACAGAACUUCACUUCAGCCAUCCAAUCCAGUUCUUGCAUCCAAUUGUGUAGACUGCACAGAACUCUCAUUUAUAGCUUUGCUGUGAAUUUCAUCAACAUGUCUAAUAACUGAAGUCCAACAAGGUCUUAUCUUAUUUAGUUUGUUUUAAAAAUUUGACAUGACAAAAAAGAAUUUUAG